Lagopus leucura (white-tailed ptarmigan) is the source of this 804-nucleotide long non-coding RNA. RefSeq lists it as uncharacterized. The transcript has 2 exons. The record is from RefSeq and is a predicted model, not a curated record. NCBI's taxonomy places the organism in Eukaryota, Metazoa, Chordata, Aves, Galliformes, Phasianidae.
GACCCCAGUGUGACCCCAAAACCCCAAGGAGACCCCAUUGCCCCCAUAGAGACCCCAAAGUCCCAUAGGGACCCCAUUGUCCCAAUAGAGAACCCCAUUGUCCCCAUACCGACCCCAAAGUGCCACAGAGACCCCAAAUUCCCCAUAGAGACCCCAAUGUGACCCCGAUGUCCCCAGGAUGUCCUUAGGGUCCCCAUUGCCUUCAAUGUCCCCCCAUGUUCCUCAGUGUCCCCAAUACCCCCAAAUGUCCCCAUUGUCCCCAGUGUCCCCACUGACCUCAAAGCCUUCAAUGCCCCCAGUGACCCCGGUGUCCCCAAUGACCCCAAUGCUCCCAGUACCCCCAACGUCCCCCAGUGCCCUCCGAUGUCCCCAGUGUCCCCACUGUCCCCAAUGUCCCCGCUGACCCCAGUGUCUCCAUUGUCCCCAUUGUCCCCACUGUCCCCAUUGUCCCCGCUGACCCCAGUGUCCCCAUUGUCCCCAAUGUCUCCAUUGCCCCCAAUGUCUCCAGUGUCCUCCACUGUCCCCAUUGUCCCCGCUGACCCCAGUGUCCCCAAUGCCCCCAAUGUCUCCAGUGUCCUCCACUGUCCCCAUUGUCCCCAUUGUCCCCAACGCCCCCAACGUCCCCCCGCUCAUCUCCCCCAUUGCAGUUUGCCAUCGGUUCCCUGAUGGACGAUUACCUCGGUCUCGUCAGCUGAGCGCCGUGGGACGAGCGGAGAGACGGGAUGGAGGACAAGGCUGGCUGUGGGGCUCGGUUUUGGCGUGUGUCCCCCCCCCCGGUCCCAAUAAAAACGCCUUUUUUUGUCA